UACGGAGGGAGCUAGCGUUGUCCGGAAUUAUUGGGCGUAAAGAGCUCGUAGGCGGUUCGAUAAGUCGGACGUGAAAUCUCCACGCUCAACGUGGAGGGGCCGUUCGAUACUGUCGUGACUCGAGUCCGGUAGGGGAGUGUGGAAUUCCCGGUGUAGCGGUGAAAUGCGCAGAGAUCGGGAGGAACACCCGUAGCGAAGGCGACUACCUGGCCUGUUCUUGACGCUGAGGCGCGAAAGCUAGGGGAGCAAACGGG
RNAcentral lists this ribosomal RNA (254 nucleotides) under uncultured bacterium. RNAcentral's name for it is "partial 16S ribosomal RNA". It matches the Rfam family "Bacterial small subunit ribosomal RNA", at positions 524 to 776 of the family's 1533-position model. The record is from RNAcentral.